UCCUUAGUUGCUAGCAGGUAAUGGUGAGAACUCUAGGACACCGCCGGUGAUAAACCGGAGGAAGGUGGGGACGACGUCAAGUCAUCAUGGCCCUUACGUGUAGGGCUACACACGUGCUACAAUGGCGCACACAGAGUGCUGCGAACUCGCGAGAGUAAGCGAAUCACUUAAAGUGCGUCGUAGUCCGGAUUGGAGUCUGCAACUCGACUCCUGAAGUCGGAAUCGCUAGUAAUCGCGUAUCAAAAUGACGCGGUGAAUACGUUCCCGGGCCUUGUACACACCGCCCGU
This 288-nucleotide ribosomal RNA is filed under the name uncultured bacterium. Its description in RNAcentral is "partial 16S ribosomal RNA". It matches the Rfam family "Bacterial small subunit ribosomal RNA", at positions 1108 to 1397 of the family's 1533-position model. The record is from RNAcentral.